Molecule: ribosomal RNA, 232 nt
Filed under: uncultured bacterium
Lineage: Bacteria
Description: partial 16S ribosomal RNA
Rfam family: Bacterial small subunit ribosomal RNA
Source: RNAcentral
CGGACGGGUGAGUAAUGUCUGGGAAACUGCCUGAUGGAGGGGGAUAACUACUGGAAACGGUAGCUAAUACCGCAUAACGUCGCAAGACCAAAGAGGGGGACCUUCGGGCCUCUUGCCAUCGGAUGUGCCCAGAUGGGAUUAGCUAGUAGGUGGGGUAACGGCUCACCUAGGCGACGAUCCCUAGCUGAUCUGAGAGGAUGACCAGCCACACUGGAACUGAGACACGGUCCAG